Long non-coding RNA from Acinonyx jubatus (cheetah), 7681 nucleotides. RefSeq lists it as uncharacterized. The record is from RefSeq and is a predicted model, not a curated record. The transcript is spliced from 3 exons. NCBI's taxonomy places the organism in Eukaryota, Metazoa, Chordata, Mammalia, Carnivora, Felidae.
UGGACGCUCAUGACCCCAAAGAGGAGUUGGGGACCAUCGGGACAAUGCAGGGAAGGUGGCAGGAAACAAUGUCCCUCAGUUCUUGAAAAUUAAUAUAUAGAUUUCCCUUGGGUUUUUGUUCGCAUUUCUAAGUGGCUUUAUAUAAAACGGAUAUGCUUAAUUUACUAACAGAUAGAUUUUUUUUUUAAGUCUAAGCAAAAACCAUAUCCCAGGUUGCCACGUGCAGAGAAGAGAAGCUGUCCCAGUGAUGGUGGAGAGACAUAAUGCGCAGCAACUGUUUGAAGGGCGGAAUGAAGGCACAUCCUGAUGUCUUGGCGCUAAGAGAAGGAAAAGGAUAUUUACAUAAGAUGAGACGCCAAUAAAUCGGAAAGUUCAAUGUGCUUAGAAAUAGACAGUGGCUGGGACAAUGAUGAAGGAAUCACAUUGCUGCAGCAGACUGCAUCUCUCAUGUUUAAUUUUCGUUUAAUUCCUGAGGAAGGCAGAGGCUCAAAGGAAUGACUCACCCUCACACUCAUCCUUCAGAAACACUCUUGCCGACCCCUCGGACGCCAAAUCCUGGAAAUACCUUUAUUUUUUACUUUCCUGAGUUGAUCAUCUUUCACAGGGUGUUUAUUGAUCAGAAGCAAUGCUCAUCUGGGGUUCAGCCACGAAGCGGUGUUUCAAACCAGGCAAAGAGGUACAAGGUGGACAUUUCCAGCCUGUUCAUCUGAACUGAUUCAACUGUCGUCAUCUUCGUGCCCGGAGAGAACACCAAAAUGAACAUGUGCCUCGUACUAAGAAAUCCCAGGAUUGUCACAACCCGUGCCAGCUGUUGAGGUUAUGACACCUGUGCCAGCUUCGCCAGCUCUGCCCACUGUCAUCUGCUCCAACUGCUCCAUCUGCACUGUUUGUACCAAUUCUCCCAUUUCUGCAUCUGUACCUUCUGCAGAGACGUUUCCAACAAUGCCAGCUGUGUCAUUGGUGCCAAAUAUGCCAGAUGUUCUAUUUGUCCACCCUGGGCCAAAUCAAUGCAGUUCUGUGCUCAUUAGUUUUAGCUGGUAGAUUCUAUUUUACAAUUUUUUGAGACAUAUUUAGAUGGAAUCCAGGCAAAAAUCCCCCUUACAACCAUUUCACAUCGCGCUCUCCAAUCUUUUUUGCCACUGCAACUUUAUCUAGCAACAUAAAGUUGGUCAAUGUCCUCUUGAUCAUAUUAAACUCAUUCUCAGUAACCAGUUCAGCGUUCAUUGUGGCAGGGCCUUUCCUGUAUAGAAGAAAAUAUUGCAGAAGCUGUGGGACACAACAAUAAAUUGGCGAGCUAAUUAAAAAAGAAUAACUUCGUUCAGAUAAACAAAUUGAGAAUGUGCAAAAAUCAAUAUGUCUAGCCGAUUAGAGUAAUCUAUGGCAUAAUGUUCUAUUAGGCUGUCUGUUUAUUGGUCUUUAAUUGACACAGUUACACGUGUGGAUUGAUGUGUGUGUCAUCCAUUCCCCUUCUCUGGGUUAGGGUUAGUAUUAACCAAGGAUGCAUGCAGGGGUAGGGCCAGGCUGUUGCACUGGCCACUUACUAAUGGAAGGAAGCAAGGUCAGGAGCUUAUGCUCUGGCCAGAAGCUAACUCUCUCUCUUCUCUCAAAUGUCAAUUCUACGAGUGCCAACACAAACCAUUCUUUGGAUAAGAAUGCGCUUUCAUCUGUAAGGUUGAAAAACAACAAAAAAAGUAUUUUCAUACUCAAAAGCUCAGUAUUCUAUAUCAUUGCAAACCCAAAAGUAGUGUUUUCCUCUUCUCUUCUCUUUUUUCUUUUCUGUUCUCAUUUAGGAAGGCCUUUCUUAAGGAGCACUAACACUUAAUCUCCAAACUUUACACCAGAUUCUUUCCUCUCAAAUCAUUUUCAGAUAUGGAGGAUGAACCCAGAGUCUGUCAUAUGAAAAUUGAUGCUUUACUAAGGAAUGUGAGGUCCAGAGGACAUCACACUACCUCCUGUUUAUUCAACUUGGAUUAUUUAACCUGCUGUUUCCAAUGAUGAAAGUUGUAACCAUUCACCAGUGCUUCAAAGCAUUAAUGGUGACAUUCUUGACAACAGAUAAAAUGGCUCACGAUUACAUUUGUACUCAGUCUAUGCAUGUGGCAAGGUACAGUGAGGAGAUGUCUCAACAGCUUUAUGAGGUUUCAAACUCCACACAGUAAACACUAAGCUUCCACAGGGAAUUACCAAAUUACCCUAAAACAAAUGAAUCUGUCUAGGUCUUAGGCUAAAAAUCCUAGUGACCUCAUUUCUUCCCAGACAAGGGUCUGUAGGCUGAGAGUCCAGACACACAUGGGCAAUGGUUUCAGGACAUGCCAGUAUUCCUGUAUGGGUAGAAUACCCUCGAUUCAAUCGUACUUUCCCCUUAUGGGGUCAGUGAUCAUUUCUCAGUAUCCCGAGUCCUUCACUCUCUUACCCAAAUUUCAUUUGUUUCUGAUCUUUUCACUCCAUACCUUUUUAUAAUCUUCCCUGAACAUAGAGAGGAGACUGAAUGAACAUUGAUUAAGUAAAAUGGUGGCUUUCUAUCAAAAUAUGCCCAAGUUCCUAACUUGAGAGAUCAAGUCUGAGUAUGCUGACCCUACUUCUAGAAAUGCCACAGACUUUUUUAUUCUAAUUCCCUAUGUUCCAAGAUGCCAAGAGGGAACAUCCGUAAUUAGGAUGAAAAUAGUUUUAUGAUUCGUUGGGAGUGUACCCUGUAUCUUCCCAGAACAUUUUAAUUAAUAUAACUUCUGCUCCCUGCUGACAAAGAUGUUUCCGAUGGUGUUUUGGCCCAACAUAUUUACCGCCUUCAUUGAUGUGAGUCAUUUGAAUACUUGGAGGAAUCCAUAAACUUCAAGGUUUCAUGUAAAAUACAGAAUCGAGUGUCACGAGUGCCACGGAGGCAUACACAGCUGAGGAUAUUUUUCAUCGCCUAUCAGGCCUUUUGUUUUACAUAAGUUUUUAAUAUGGUGACCAUGAGAACAUUCAGAUCUGCUGGUAAAGAAUAGAAAACCACACAUUUCAAUGACAUGCAGAUAAAAAGAUCCAAAUGACUUUGAAAUUUGCUCUCAUGACAGUUAGCUUCCCCUUUAGAUAGUUGUUUCUCUGGAAUGAGUAAGUCACCAUGGACUUACUGUGCAUUGAUCUCCUAGCUACUUGGAGUAAACAGAGCACCUUGGGCCUCUUAAAUUUCUUGACUACGUUUCUACUACUUCCUCAAUCCCACUGUCCACACUUUCAAUUUGGGAAGAACACAAAUCCUAAUGUAGUUCCCUCAUCAGUAGGGGCAUCAGUACACUCUGACUCUUUAAAUCACAAGUACGCUAGCAGUUAUGACAGCAAUAUUUAGGAAAAUGCUAUCAAAGAUGGCAAUAACCACACUGAGGGGCCAUGGCUCCAUCAGCACUAUUGCUGUCAUUUUCACCACCUGAUUACUUAUUUUCAGGAAAACGACAUUGUUUGACUCACUAAUGUUCCAAGCCUUAUAUUCAGUUCCUAAAUAGUCUCCGAACUCCAGGGCUAAUACACAUAGGUGAGCUAUCCACGCCUAGAAGUGAAGACUGUCAAAAUGUCAAACAGUUUGAGGAAGUAGGGAAAGAGGGUAAUAGAAAACAAAGCAAGGCAAGGACAGAAAAGAAUAAAUCACUGCACCAAACCAGUAAGAUAAACGGAUAGAAGUGUGUUGUCUUGGUUGGAAACAAGGAGAACAGAGAUCAUUAGUACAGACCCACUAAUCCAAUCAGAAAACAGGUACUCAGAGCAUAUCCGAGCUCACACAACUUAUUAAUGGCAAAAUCAAGUGCAGAGAAAACCUAUCUUCAGGUUCGUCAUGUGUAAACUGUAAAAUACAGAUGAUAGUAAUUGUAUGGAACCCAAAGAGUUUUGAAGAUUAAGUGCGUCAAUUGGCAGAAAGAAUUGACAACAGGGUCUGACAGACAGUAAACACUGUGGGUUAGCCCUCCUCCUCCUCAUGAUUAGGAUACUUGGAUCUGUGGGAUUUUUAUUCUCUUAUAUCAUACAAGCUGUAUCUAGGAUACGGCGGCUGUAUCAGCUCUGAUGCUGAGACUUCAGCAUCAAUUUAAAGUCACACUUUUGGGUCACCUGGGUGGCUCAGUCAGUUAAAUGUCUGGUUCUUGAUUUUGAAUCAGGUCAUGAUCUCAUGGUUCCUGGGUUCAAGCCCCAUGGUCGGGCUCUAUGCUGACAGCACAGAAGCUUCUUGGGAUUCUCUCCCUCCUUCUCUCUGCCCCUCCCCACUCACGAGCGUGUGCUCUCUCUCUCAAAAUAAAUUUGAAAAAAUAAACAUUUUAAAAAAAAUAAAUAAUCUUAUUUCCAGGUUUUUAGCUGGACCAUCAAAUUUGUAUUACAAAAAAGGAAGUUGGAAUGAGACUCUGAAGUUAAGCAAUGACCCAACUGUUUUCUGUAUCCUACCUGGCACACAAUGUAGAUAUGUAGUCAAUGCAGAGAACAUGGAGGUGCCCAUAUGAAUGGAAGGAAGCAAAGGCAUGAUUAAUCUAGACUAAGAGAGGCCACAGCAAGAGCAAUAUUUGGCUUCAGGAAGAAAACACACUCUCAGUCGGUAGCGUGUUCACACAUUCUCAUGCAGAUACUUCCCAGUUAUCUCUUUGGAGCUAACCACAGGUAAUGGGUGUGGAGGAUUGCUUGCAACCACCAGAAGCUAGAAAGGCAAGGGAGGAUCUUCCCUAGCACCUUAAGAAGGCACAUGGCUCUGUAGACACCUGGAAUUGGGACUUGGAGCUUCUAGAACUGUGAGAGAAUACAUUUCUGUGGUCUUCAGAAAUGCAUUCUAGGGUGUUUUAUUGCUGCAGCUCUGAGAAACUAACACAGCUUCCUUUCCCUAAAUGUGGAUAAUUAGAUGUGUCUCUAAUACAGGACCCGGGUCCUUGCUGAGCAAUAGAAAGAAUAAGACCGCAGGGAUUCCAGAAGAAAAAUGCCAUUCCAAAUGGAACCAGUUAACCAUGUCCAGAAAUUAGGAGGAGAAGACAGGAAGGAAAUUAUAGUAGUUACAUAAUAAAAUGAGUGUCUCAUAUUUGUAAAGCACUUUAGACUUCCAUUUUUUACUAUCAAUCACCAGGGUGGGCAAUGCUAGACCAACUGAAUCAGAACCUCUUAGGAAUAAAGACCCAGGAGUGUGUGUUUUGAAGAGGCUCACCAGGCUAUCCAGAUGCACCAGGAGAGUUAAGAAACCACUUUGUAAGCCCAGUAGUGCUCUUUUCUCUUCAUUAAAGCAGCCUCAUAACAGAGACAUUUAAAUACAUUUAAAUUAAUUAUUUAGAACUUCAGAAUGCUGAGCUUUAAAUGCAAAAUGUUACUUCAUGAAAAAGGUUUGGAUCAAACUGGGUUAACUUGUCCUUUCUUGGCUUCUGCUUUCAGACUCAUCUCUUGCCUCACGGCAAUACGUUCAAGUUGGACUGAAUCACAAAAGCCAGAGAUAGAACAUUAGCUCCUGAGUUUGCUCCAUAUGCUCCUGUAGGAGUUUGCCUUGUAGUUAACCUCGUUACAACUCAAGAUCCAUCAUAACAAGUGCUGGAAUGCCUGAUGCAGACAGAAACAUGUUAGAGAUAAGUCACUGUGCUGGCAUUUAGGGCGACUGCAGAUACAUGAUGAUACCUAAACCCUGUUCAUUGUAUCCUAAGUAUGAAUCCACAGUGGGUUGGACAUAUACUAGAACCAUUUGAAAGUUACAAGGUCAUGCUGCUUCGCUCCUGAGUACUUUGUCCUGAAUCCAUAAGAAAAAAAAUUCUCUGAGGCUCUGGAUGGCUAAGUCUGUUAAGGUCCGACUCUUGAUUUCAACUCAGGUCAUGAUCUCGUGGUUUUUGAGUUCGAGCUCUGCAUCAGCUCUGUGCUGACCGUGUGAAGCUUGCUUGGGAUUCUCUCUCCCUCUCUCUCUGCCCCUCCCUUGCUUGCAUGCAAGUGUUCUCUCUCUCUCAAAAUAAAUAAAUAUAAAUUUUUUUUAAUUCUCCAAAACAGCAACAGUACUGUUGUCCCAUGAAAGUUAACAAGAAUUCAAUGUCACCUAAUAAACAGUUCAUAUUUAAAUUUCACCAAUUCUUUCAAAAAUACAGUUUUUUUUCCCAUUUGAGAUUUAAUCCAAUUCCAUAUACUGUAUUUGGUUGCUAUAUCUUUUCAGUAUAUUCUGAUCCAUGUGUUUUAAAAAAAUCAUUUGUUUUUCAUGACAUUGACUCUUUUGAAUAAUCUAGGCAAGCUGUCUUGUAGAAUGCCCUACAUUCUGGAAUCAUCUGUUGUUCAUGCUUGGAUUGAGGUAGAAAGGGCAUUUUCAAACUCCAGAAUAUAUAGGAAAGACAUAAUCCAGACAAAGUGAGUAUGCCGAAGUUAAUGGAGAGACUCUCCAUAGCUUCUAUUUUACUCCUUAUGGAAUGUCAAUAACUUAGCCACAGAAUGGCCCUCUUCCACAGGCGAGGAUUAGGUAACCACCAUUCUAGAAAAUAAAAAUGAUUCUACCACAGACUGUCUAUCAACAAAUGGUAUCACUGGUAAAAGAUGCCAGGUCUUCAGAAGACUGACCUAAGUUCCCACCAGGGUUCACUUAACAGGUUUUAGGGCAGUUACUCAUUUCAAUCAAUGUGUUGAGCCAACUCAGCCUUAUCUGACCCUGGAUAUUGCCUAGGAUCAAAGUCAAAUGUGGUAGGGCCCAAGGUCUACUCAUAGUUGACAAAAGGAAACUAGAAUUUGGCACCUGCUGACUUGCCGAGAGCCCCAUGCCUACGGCUGUUGGGAGCACCCAUGAUAGCCUGGAGGACUGGAGCAAGGUGCCCAGGUAAAGCUGGGUGGAGAGGUUCACGGUGCUUACACAUCACCCACCUGCCUUUUUCCAGAACUUGCUCGGUGCCAGGAAUGUCCUAAUUACCACACGCCCCACUUAUUGCAGAGCUCUUUCAGUCAUAGACAAUAAACUACACAUUUAAGCGUGAGCAAAAAGUUGUAUCAUGGGGGUGCCUGGGUGGCUCGGUUGGUUGAGCAUCAGACUCUUGAUUUCUGCUCAGGUCAUGAACUUGCGGUUCAUGAGUUCGAACCCACGACAGGCUCUGUGCUGACAGCUCGGAUUCUAUGUCUCCCUGUCUCUCUGCCCUUCCCUCACUCACUCUGUCUCUCUCUCUCUCUCUCAAAAAUAAAUAAACAUUAAAAAUAUAUAUAAAUAAAAGUUCUGUCAUGGUACUAUGGCUUUCACCAAGGGACUUCCUUAGUUAUGCUGAUUAGGAUUGUAAUGCGGGACACAGGAUCCAGGCCAGAGACAGACUCCAGGCAGGACCAUUGUUUCCUCUCUGGGGCAGAGGGUCUCCAGCUCCACCCAGCAGUCUUUGUGGGGUGCCAAAAGUUCUCCUCCCAUGGGGAGGUCUAUAGCCCUCGGGGUGGGGGUGGAGGGAGACCUUCACUCCAUCAGGUGCUUUCUCUCCACCUACAAGGCACAUUUGUGGUGAGGGAAGAAGAGAGAGCUGUAGUAGCCCCCCUCUGAAUGGUUUGUUGGUCCACCCCACUCCUGAAUGCACCCCUCACCCUGGUGACGGGGUGCACAACACAGGGCAGUGCACACCCAAAGUGUCACAAUGCCAAUUUAUUUUAAAUGGACACUCCUCUGCUUCUGAAAAAGUAUCUGCCCGAGGCUUACAAUAACAGACACUUCUCACCUCCAUUACUCCACUUCCAGCCAACCGCUCUGGUGUCUGUU